GACGAACGCUGGCGGCGUGCUUAACACAUGCAAGUCGAACGGAAAGGCCCUGCUUUUGUGGGGUGCUCGAGUGGCGAACGGGUGAGUAACACGUGAGUAACCUGCCCUUGACUUUGGGAUAACUUCAGGAAACUGGGGCUAAUACCGGAUAGGAGCUCCUGCUGCAUGGUGGGGGUUGGAAAGUUCCGGCGGUGGGGGAUGGACUCGCGUCUUAUCAGCUUGUUGGUGGGGUAGGGGCUUACCAAGGCUUUGACGGGUAGCCGGCCUGAGAGGGUGACCGGCAACAUUGGGACGGAGAUACGGCCCAGACUCCUACGGGAGGCAGCAGUGGGGAAUAUUGCACAAUGGGCGGAAGCCUGAUCCAGCAACGCCGCGUGCGGGAUGACGGCCUUCGGGUUGUAAACCGCUUUCGCCUGUGACGAAGCGUGAGUGACGGUAAUGGGUAAAGAAGCACCGGCUAACUACGUG
This 468-nucleotide ribosomal RNA is filed under the name uncultured bacterium. Its description in RNAcentral is "partial 16S ribosomal RNA". It matches the Rfam family "Bacterial small subunit ribosomal RNA", at positions 28 to 507 of the family's 1533-position model. The record is from RNAcentral.